AUUCCGGGCAGCGGCCCUGUGUCCUGCAAGCUUGAGGACCGCGGUUCCUCUCCCACCAAUUGGGGUCCUGAAUUAGGGUGCGAGCAGCCAGGCGCCAUCCCGGGGCGGGUUGUGGGGUCCUCGGUAUGGGGAGGUUGGGAAACAGAGAGGACACUGGGGAGAGGAAAGAUAAAGGGAAAAUCCGGAACACAGAGAUCGCUUCUGGUCUCUGCGGAGGAAGCCAGGCCCCCAGGGCGCCCAUAUCCAGGUGAGGAGCACAGAGACCUGAACCGAAAACCGCUGGGGGAGACCUAAGCGGUGACUUCGGUUCCCAUUCCCAGAGAUGUGAGUUAGAUCCGGGACCACGGGGCUGCACCUGCGUCCUGCCCGCCCCCACCCUACCCCUUCACCUCAGGACCUGACCUAGACUCCAGAGAGAACAGUAAGGCUUCGGUGCCUUAGUCUGGGACUGUGGAAGUCGAUAGGCUGCGGGCUUACAGGGAGCUUCGUAUACUAAAAUCAGCCAGCUGCGGAGGCAGAGCUGAAAGGAGGCAGAAAGAAUGAGCUCUCUGAACUUGCAUGGCUACCCAGACCAUCCCUACAACUCCCUUGAACUCACAAGGGUAUGAAUAUUCAGCCAAUCUCUUCUUUGUUAUAGUCUGUUAAGGGCUUUGAGAUCUUCCAUUUGGACUCCUUGACAGCCGGUAGAUCAACACCUGCACAAAAAAUAGCAGCCACCACAAUUCAGUUGUCCCUUACCUACCUGAGCUGGAAGUUAGUAACUUGGAAAAUGUAAAACAAGAACCCUCAUAGAACUUGGGACAAGAUUUGAAAAAAAUAAAGUUACCCUAUGAAAUGAUCUGUAAAUGGGCUACAGAGGCCACAGUGUCUCCCACAUUUCAUCAGAGAGAGUAAACCAUGUGUAACCUAAGUGUCACAUACCCAGUUAAUGCUGUCAUAACCGAAGGGUGGGGUCCACAAAGAGUCUAAAACCAGAAGAAUCUGAAUAAGAAUGUUCUAUGAGGCUCCCAGGAACUCUGUCCAGGAACGAGGCAACUGAUUCUAAUGACCAGAACCAACACUUACUCUCAGGGCAGUUAAAUCUUAAUUCAGAUUCACUCACUCAUUCAACAGAUACUUAGUGAAUGCUUACUAUGUUCUAGUCUCUUAAGAUACGUCAGUAAAUCCCUGCCUUCGUGGAGUUUAUAUCCUAGCAAACCUAAAUUCUGGAUCUCCGUUAAGAGCAUACAAAGGCCCAUACUCUGAUUCCAAACUCAGCUAGUAGCCUUUCCAUCAUUCAGGGAGUCUCUCAAAUAAAUCUACAUACCCAAUAAGAAGGGAUUGUCCAAGGCAUAUAACUAGGACUAGUUAUACUAGCUGUACAGUUUUUGUCAAUAAAUUCAUAUCAUGGUUUACAAAUCGGACACUGUUCACUGGGUUGAAUUGUUUUAUCCGAAUUAAUUUCUCAGAGCCUAUUUAAACUUGAGCGAAGUGAAAUAAAAGUUUCCAAAUCUGCCAAACAGGAUCAACAGAGCCUGAUUUCAGAGCAGCCCAGUGAAGAUGCAGUCUGUGCAUUUAGCCUUGUAUCUCUCUUUAAAUAUCUUAAAUGAAAGCUUUACCUGUGAUUCCAUGCUUGGAGAACAGGAGCAAUAUGAUUGCUUCAAAAGCUUUAUCAUAAGUGCGUAAAAGUCUUGAGAGUAAAUCCGAAGAGAGUUAAAAACCUCCUCCGCCUGCCCCACAUAUGCAACACAGGCUCUUGUUGACAUAACUGACUGUAAUAAAUACUUUGCUCUGAAUAUGAAACCUAAGAUGUAAGCUCCCAGAGGGAAGGAUUCCCUUGCCUUUUUUUUUUUUUUUUUUUUUUUUUUUUUUUUGGUGAGACAAGGUCUUGCUCUGUCACUCAGGCUGGGGUCCAGUGUCUGGAUUAUGGCUCAAUACAGCCUCAACUUCCUGGCCUCCAGCAGCAUUCCUACCCUAGUCUCCUGAGUAGCUGGGACUACAGGGACAUGCCACCAUGCCUGGCUAAUUUUAAAAUUUUUUUAGAGAUGGGUUUCCCUAUGUUGCCCAGGCCUCUCUUGAACUCCUGGCCUCAAGUGAUCCUCCCACCUCAGCCUCCCAAAGUGCUGUGAUUACAGGCGUGAGCCACCGUGCCCGGCCUCCCUUGCGUUUUUAUACCCUACCCACAAAGUAUGGGAUCUCAAAAAACAAAUGAAUUGAUCAAUGACCAUUUUCCCCCUCAAAAACUGCAGAACAUAUUCUUGGAAGAUAUAUUCUCUAGAUCCUACUUGAUAAUAUAAAAACAGUAUGUUCAACAUAGGGGCCACAUGGGCUAUAAUUCAAAACAAACACUUUUAUUUUGUAUCUUUUGCCAUGCCUUUCAAUUUGUGCAGUGGGAGUAGAUCUGUCAUGUACCUAAUUGAAAACUCAGGCAGGUUCCAUGAGUUUUUAGGGGUUCUGUGGUCUCCUUAGGAAUAGAGUCCUGUUGUCAUUGAGUCACAAAGAGUGAAAUGUUUUCCUCUUUUUCAGCUGGGAACAGUUGUCUCAUUGCUUGCCCUAAAGAGGGGACCAUAGUCAUCUUUAACCUGCCUAGUCUUUCUCCUCCCGGCUUAACUAAUCAUAACCAAAUCUGGGGAAGGCAGGGAGAAAAAGGAGCAGGAAAGUUGUUAACUUUGUAUGAUGGUUUGACAUUCCCUGGGCAUGGUAGAUGCUUAAAGCUGACUUAUUUUUUCAUGGAUACCUCAGAGACUACCACCAUCCCCCUUCUCUGGUGGUUUCUCCCCCAUAAUUCUAUUGGUCUAAGCGUAAAGCUAUUUUGGCAGUUAUUUACUUCUUUCCACGCACCUCCAACUACUUGUCUGUUGAAACCUGGGCAUCUCUGUAAAGGCCCUGUCAGAUAGGAUCUGAGAUGACUCUCACACUCGUCCAUUUGCAAGUGACCCUUUAUUGUGGGACAAGGUUGUGCACUCCGUACCCUAGGGGGUGCCAUUCACAUCAUUCUCACUGUAGUUCUGUAUGUUAUUUAUUUUAAUGUUUUUCCAGCAGGUGGCAGUAAAGUGUUUUGUCCAAACUAAAUUACAACGACUGCUUCCCAAUAGAUGGAAGCAAAGCGUCUGGACGAAGGAGAGCUUUUUUCUCAUGGUGCUGCUGUGUUAGCCUAGUGACAGCUCUGUAUGGCCCACACCUGGUCCACAGGAAGCUCUCAGGCACCUCUUGCCCGAACAAACUUGGGAGUACAGGCUAAUCCCAGUGCAGAUUCAACAUUCCUCUACUCUGCUGCCAAAACAGCCGCCAGCCUGUGGGAGUCAGACACAGGCCCACGGUGCCCCUCAGACUGCAGGAGGUACAAGUCAAGUGCUCUGAGCAGAUCCAUUGAAGGCCCACUCCCUCGACUUGAAGUAAAAGGCAGGCAGGCACCUGUGGUAAGAAUCACAGCUCACCAGCAACAGUCUCCAAAGACAUUGUCCUCAAUAAUUCUGGUUUGGCCUUUUAUAACUAAAUAACUGAGUAUUUAAUCUACCUGCUUUGUCUAAAUCCUCUGAAAUUUCUAGAGGGGGUCUAUCUCAGAAAUUACUUUAGUUUUUUGGUGGAUGGAGGGAAGAAGAUGGUUUCUUUUAUAAUAAUCUUGUUGCUUCAGUUAAAACAGUGGUUCUCAACUGCGACAAUUUUGGGGGACCAUGUGUGCAGACAUUUUUGGUUUUUUUUUAAACUUUUUUUUUCCUUCUGAAUUCAGGAUCUGCUGAAUACAGACAUUUUUGAUUGUCACCACUGGAGAGGUGCUAUUGGCUGGUGGGAGAAGGUCAAGGAUGCUGGUAAACAUCCUUUACGGCACAGGACAGCCCCUACAGCAAAGAACAGCAAUUCUGUUUGUUACAGAGAUGAGAGAAUACCUCACUAAAAGAAUACUUCAAAAUUACAUCACUUUUUCUUCUUUUUUUCCUACAAAUUCUUUACCUGUAGAUGGAAACGUCACAUUUCAAUAUAUCAAUAGAGUCAAAAAUAGCAUUUGCAAUAGCUAUUUGGCCAGGAUGAGAAGUGACUGGUAUAGACCAAUCCUUUGUGUUUCCAAGACUCCUUCUGGAGAUGAGGCCAUGCCAGGAAAAUUACUACUUGAGAUAAAAUUGUUAUUUAUUUGCAAGAUGACUUUUAAGCCUGGAAAACAAGCAUUCUAUCCCAGCUUAUCUGAACAGAGGCAUUAUGCCUCUCAGAAGUAAGGUCAUGAGUCACAUCACUGUGGAAGGAAUAUAUCUUUGCUACAACCUGGACUGCAUUCUAGAUGCCAGGGAGGACCUCAGCAUAUCUGCCUCCCCAAGGUCACCAGUGUCACUGGAAUGAGACUUGAAGUCAGGAAGUAGCUGUCUCUGCAGUUACUUUACAGAUGGCUAAUAAUGCCCUCAUUAUUCACAGAGAAUGCAAAUGGGUUCUUCCAUCCUUUACAUGAGUUUGACUGAAUUCAUCUCUUCCAGAUGUAGCAGGAUGUUGAGCCCUUCCCUUGCACCAUCAGUAAGGAAACUUUUAAUCAGGUGUUUUCCUUACCGUUACUGAUCUCCCUGAGCAAGGCUGUUUGAGUACUGGGAUAUAGAUUAACUUGAGUUCAGUCAAGGCUGCCUUGUCUUUCUUAAUACGAUGUUAAUAAGAAACGAGCCACCCUAGCCAGAAAAGCCAAAAAGAUAUAUUCUAUCCCCACCAAUUCUAUCACUUAAAAGUAAAAUAGAUAAAACAAACAUUCCAAGUUCCAGUUCUAGCCCUGUUACUAGCCUUUUGACUCUGGUCAAGUUACUUAACUUAGUUGUACCUUAGAUUCCCCAUUAGUCAAAUAGGGAAACAGACUUAAAUGAAUUGGUAUGCAUAAAAGUGCUUUAUUAGCCAUAUACAAUUUUUUCAGUUCCCUCUCCUAUACUGCAUUCAGAGGCCUAGAGAACAACCUGAAAAUGUCUUGCUUUCAUAUCUGGAUUUAUUGCCAGGAAUGAGGCCCAGUGUGAACACCUUUCUUGACAGAAAUUGCCAAAUCUUUGUCUAUCUAUUUGUAAAUGAAAACCAAGAACCACUAAGAAUUCCCCCAAACUCUCGGUGCUGGUUUUAAGAUCUUCUGAGCCUUGUAAGUUACAGUAAAUACAAGCACAUCUCUUCCCCAAUUAGAAGCAUAUUUACACUGCCCAUUUGUAGAACAAGACAUGACUGUAAAUACAGAUAGGAAGCCAUCAUUACAUGCAGUCUUGUGUGCAGGGAAAAACAAGUGCAUAUGGAGAUGAGAUUGUGACUACUCUUGAUUCUCACAGAGCAGUAAAAUGCUAUCAAAUUCAGUCAAACUCAGCUAAUGAAUUUUCUCCUUGAGGUAGUCUCCUCUACUGGGAAGAAAGGAAGAACUAAAAACACAUCAAAUUUAAAUCCUCUGGUAAAAGAGAAGCAACUCACCAUUAGAGAGAUGUAUUGCUGGCUCUUCCAAGAAAUGGAGUGGAAAUCUUUCUGUGCCACUUUGCCCAGGACCAUUGUGCCAGUGUGCAAGAAUGUGUGUUUUUCAUAAACAGAAAAAUAUCACUAGCUGCAAAGAGAAGAAACUGUUCCAGGGUGUACAAAUCCCACGCCAACCUCCAAAAUAAUGGCAAAUACUGUUCUGAUCUUAGCAACCCAGAAUAACCUUUGUGCCAUUUAUUUAUUCAACACAUAUUUCUUGGGCAGCUAUUAUGGGUCAGGCACUGUGCUAGGCGAUAUGAUCAUGAUCUCUGCCCUGGAAAAGCUUCAUCUUACAUAUCUCUGGAAUAAAAUAUUUUGGUGGAAUAGAACCAAAGUUAACAUAAUGUGGAUUUCAGCUUCUAUAUUCACUCAUAUAGCCACUGGUGCCAGUCACAUCCAGUUUGGAGAGCUGGAACAAUUAACAGUAAGUCUCAUCUUUGCCAAGUCCACAUAUUUGGCCUGAUAACUCAGAAUUCAGUGUAUGACAAUAAUGUAGGCCAAUACUAUCAUCAGCUAUAAGACUAAUUUGUUUUGGUUUCUUUAUUAAAUUCCUAUAAUCAGCUAGAUAUUUUUUCCACAAUCAGAACUUUUAUUGUUGAAAAUAAAUAAAUAACAAAGAAUAAAUAUCCCUUUCUCUUCUUCCCUCUGCCUGUAUCCAUAUAGGGGAAAGAAAAAACUGCUCUGAGAUUCAGUGAGAUUAUGACCUUCACAAAAUCAUGAACUUUCUGCUGCCUUUUUAACCAGAAAUCUAGGCAGGAGGGUCUCACCAUUUUGCAUAUCCUACCUGUUCCUUACAGGCUCUAGGCUUUUGAGCCUUCCUAUCAUUUGACCAGCCAAGUUGCUUCUCAGCACCUUUUUUUUCCCCUUUGAGUCAGGGUCUGGGUCCAGUGGCCCAAUUAUAGCUCACUGCAGCCUCAGUAUCCCAGGCUCAAGCAAUCCUCCC
This 6373-nucleotide long non-coding RNA is filed under the name Homo sapiens (human). RNAcentral describes it as "non-protein coding lnc-WNT8A-4:2". Lineage: Eukaryota; Metazoa; Chordata; Mammalia; Primates; Hominidae. The record is from RNAcentral.